CCAGACUCCUACGGGAGGCAGCAGUGGGGAAUAUUGCACAAUGGGGGGAACCCUGAUGCAGCGACGCCGCGUGAGUGAAGAAGUCAUUCGUGAUGUAAAGCUCUAUCAGCAGGGAAGAAAAUGACGGUACCUGACUAAGAGGCCCCGGCUAACUACGUGCCAGCAGCCGCGGUAAUACGUAGGGAGCAAGCGUUGUCCGGAAUUACUGGGCGUAAAGGGCGCGUAGGUGGGCGCUUAAGUCAGGUGUGAAAACUCCGGGCUCAACCUGGAGACUGCACUUGAAACUGGGGGCCUUGAGUGGGCGAGAAGAAGGCGGAAUGCGUGGUGUAGCGGUGAAAUGCAUAGAUAUCACGCAGAACCCCGAUUGCGAAGGCAGCCUUCCGGCGCCCUACUGACGCUGAGGCACGAAAGUGCGGGGAUCGAACAGGAUUAGAUACCCCAGUA
Molecule: ribosomal RNA, 444 nt
Filed under: uncultured bacterium
Lineage: Bacteria
Description: partial 16S ribosomal RNA
Rfam family: Bacterial small subunit ribosomal RNA
Source: RNAcentral